UAGGGAAUCUUCCACAAUGGACGCAAGUCUGAUGGAGCAACGCCGCGUGAGUGAAGAAGGUUUUCGGAUCGUAAAGCUCUGGUGUUGGUGAAGAAGGAUAGAGGUAGUAACUGGCCUUUAUUUGACGGUAAUCAACCAGAAAGUCACGGCUAACUACGUGCCAGCAGCCGCGGUAAUACAUAGGUGGCAAGCGUUGUCCGGAUUUAUUGGGCGUAAAGCGAGCGCAGGCGGAAGAAUAAGUCUGAUGUGAAAGCCCUCGGCUUAACCGAGGAAUUGCAUCGGAAACUGUUUUUCUUGAGUGCAGAAGAGGAGAGUGGAACUCCAUGUGUAGCGGUGGAAUGCGUAGAUAUAUGGAAGAACACCAGUGGCGAAGGCGGCUCUCUGGUCUGCAACUGACGCUGAGGCUCGAAAGCAUGGGUAGCGAACAGGAUUAGAUACCCUGGUAGUCCAUGCCGUAAACGAUGAGUGCUAAGUGUUGGGG
This 481-nucleotide ribosomal RNA is filed under the name uncultured bacterium. Its description in RNAcentral is "partial 16S ribosomal RNA". It matches the Rfam family "Bacterial small subunit ribosomal RNA", at positions 355 to 828 of the family's 1533-position model. The record is from RNAcentral.